Molecule: RNA transcript, 968 nt
Organism: Nycticebus coucang (slow loris)
Lineage: Eukaryota; Metazoa; Chordata; Mammalia; Primates; Lorisidae
Gene name: NEDD8-activating enzyme E1 regulatory subunit-like
Exons: 1
Source: RefSeq, a predicted model, not a curated record
CUAAAGAAUGAAAAUGGGGCUCCAGAAGAUAAAGAGAAUUUUGAAGAAGCUAUUAAAAAUGUGAAUACAGCACUAAAUACAACUCAGGUCCCAAGCAGUAUUGAAGAUAUAUUUAACGAUGAUCGCUGCAUAAAUAUCACCAAACAGACUCCAUCAUUUUGGAUUUUAGCUUGUGCCUUAAAGGAAUUUGUCGCCAAAGAAGGUCAAGGAAAUUUACCUGUUUGGGGCACAAUUCCUGAUAUGAUUGCAGAUUCAAGCAAAUAUGUAAAACUUCAAAAUGUUUACCGUGAAAAAGCAAAGAAAGAUGCUGCUGCUGUGGGUAAUCAUGUAGCCAAAUUGCUGCAGUCCAUUGGCAAGGCACCAGAAUCCAUUUCAGAGAAAGAAUUAAAAUUACUCUGCAGCAAUUCUGCAUUUCUUCGAGUGGUAAGAUGUUAAUCCUUAGCUGAAGAAUAUGGUUUGGAUACAGUUAACAAGGAUGAAAUUAUUUCCAGCAUGGACAAUCCAGAUAAUGAAAUAGUGUUGUACUUAAUGUUAUGGGCUGUCGAUAGAUUUCAUAAACAACAUAGUAGAUAUCCAGGGAUAUCUAACUAUUAAGUUGAAGAAGAUAUAGGAAAACCAAAGUCUUGUCUCACUGGCUUCCUUCAAGAAUAUGGUUUAUCUGUAAUGGUGAAAGAUGAUUAUGUUCAUGAAUUUUGCCGAUAUGGAGCUGCUGAGCCACAUACCAUUGCUGCAUUCUUGGGAGGAGUUGCUGCUCAAGAGGUUAUCAAAAUAAUCACCAAACAAUUUGUAAUUUUUAAUAAUACUUACAUUUAUAGUGGCAUGUCACAAACUUCUGCAACUUCCCAGUUGUAGAAUAAGCACCCUAUGUAGGUUAUUGAUUGAAAAUGUACUUCUUGUCUUAGUGUGUAAAAUUCUGCUAAAGGAGAGCUGCUAAAUUGUUUCCUGAAUAAACAUUUUUCUCAUUUGUA